UUCUGACUAAUAAUUAGAUAUCCAUUAACAAAAUUACAAAACCACAAUGUAGCAAUAUUCAAUAGACAUAUAUUAGCAUCGUCAUUUUCUUCAAUUAAUUUCAAAAUAAAAUCCACACGAUGUUUUCGAACUUAUUUACUGUGAUCCGGUGAUUUGAUCUCGAGUCAUCAAAUAUCUGUAAAGAAAAAAAAACACACAAUCAAUAUGAAUCCUAAUUUUUUUAUCAUAUGAACAUUAAAAAAUACAAUCAAUAACAACUUAUAAUUUUUUAUCAGACAAAUACAAAAAAAUACAAUCAAUAACAACAUGUAAAAAAUUACGUACUUGCAUCCAUGAAACAACUAUGUUAAGAUGUUCAACAUAUGCAACAUGACAUAGUAGUCACUCUUAUAGAUUUGUCAUGUUUAACAAAUCAUCAUACCAUAUCCGUUUUGUAUAACUAUGACAAAUCCCAUGAUGAUUUCUUAUUUCUUCAAAAUAUAACAUGUUCUAUUUAAAAAAACAACAAUAAAUUUUUUCUUGGUUUUUAUGAAGUUUUUUUUAAAAGUAAAUCGUAAAAAUUUAUCCACACUUGUACACUUACUCAAAUAACUAUGAUACAUAAUUAUUUGUUAGAAAUAAGUAACUAUUAAAGUAAAAUAAAAAAUCAUUAGAAAAAAAAAUGAAUUUGACAUAUUUUUUUCCUUCAAAUAAUAUGAUAUUAUUAUCUAAAUGAAAUUAUGAGCACAUAUACUAAUCAUUUUAUCUAAAUGAAUUAUUCAUAUAAAUUUAUUAUUCAAUAACUUGAACAACCAUACCUGAAAUAGUGGCGAUGAAACACGUACAGAUGGCGAUGUGAAGAUAAAACGUUUCACGUGGUUAAAGGUUAUUGUUUACGUUUACCUUUAAGUCAGUUAUUAAUAAAACCGCGUUAAACAAGUUUUAAAUAUUUACAAAAUUGUCACCGCCUCGUUUUAUUAAAUCGUUUAACAAGUAACUGAUUUUUAUUAAAUCGUUUAACAAGUAACUGAUUUAGCGAGUAUGAUGGGAUAUAUUAAUUUUUUAAUUUUAUUUUUACAGUAUCUCUUAAGUCGGUUGUCAAUCUAACCGUGUUAAUCGUUUUUCACAUAUUUACAAAUCUGUCACCGCCUCAUUUUGUUAACUCGUUUAUACGCACAAGCGACUUAAAUGUACCUCUGCCUCAUUUGUUAAGUCUGGUAGCACAUAACCGACUUAAAUCUGUUGUAUUAAAAGCCCAAUUUUCUAGUAGUGAAUAACAACAACAACAACAAAUUAUAAACAAAAGUAUACGAAUAAUCAAAUAUGUUAUAAUUGCAUAAAUAACAUAAGAAAACCAAAACUAAAUAGAUUCAACAAGAUUCAUCUAAUACAUAAUCGUUGAGUAAAUUACCUACUCAUAUUAUUUGAUAAAAGAUACAUAGAGAGAAGGAAAUUACACAUAAAGGUUGCAUUUUGUCUCCUCUUUGUGCAGAUGCCUCCUUUUUUGCAUCAAAAAAUUUAAACCCUAACAAAAUUAUAAUUUUUGACUUAAAUAAUGGUAUGAGAACUCGCACCAACGCAUUGCGCUAGGUCUAGGAGCAAUGCGCUACAAUAACUAACAUUUAUUAUGGUGCAACAAUUUGCGCAAUGUGUUGCCUGAAAGCUAAUUGUGGUGUAGCACGUUGCGCAAUGCGCUGAGGUGCUUCUUUGUUGCGCUCAGAUACGGUGAGUUGUGUCAAGAUGCGCACUACAAUAUAGUGACUGGCGCAAUGCGCCCUUGGUCCUCCCUAUUGUGCUCUAACUUCUAUCAAAAGGAAAUUUUGUACUUUGAAAUCACCUUGUGUCAGCACUAACCCUAUGAAAUCACCAAUUAUUACUUAGCAAGAUGACACAUUUUUUUUUCUCUUUUUCUUUACAACGAUUUUCUGCUUUUGUUUAUCUUGUACUACACCCCAAAUUAAAAAUGUUGUUAUUUCAUGAGAAACCUCAAAAUUAAAGUUUUUGUCAAGUCAUAAAUAGCAUAUCCUACCUAACUCCAAGUAAGGUUUAGGAUAAAAAUAAUUUUGGCCAUUGACUUGUAAUAAGUCUAAGUAACACAAAUAAAGGGAUUCAGGCUCAAAGGUGCAAACGAAUGAUAAUAACUAGUACAGGGUGGACAAAAAUAACUCAAAAGGUAACAAGAAAAAAGCAUCAGUCUAUGUACAAUUUACAAGUAAACACAAUGUAGAGAAAAAAAUGCAAGUUCUAAAGAAAUGAUACAUGUCAAAAUUUCAUACACCGAAGAAAAUAAAUAUUCGGGUCAAACCUCACUUGUUAGGUAAGAGGAAACAAAAUCUUCAUUUGGCAGGUCAAAUGAAUUGUCAAUUAUGUAGGCAAAUAUUAAUGAUCUCAAACAACCCAUGCUGCAAACUGACAAUGUUAUUUAUAAAAACAAGUACUUUUAUUAGAGUUGUGUGAACAAGUGCACAAACAAAUAUUGAAGGAAAGGUAACACAAAGAUAUCAACUUUGAAGAAAACAGGCUAGUCUCAUUAAUUCAAAAUGUAAAGCAUUACAAAUAAAAUUGUUAAAAAUAAAACCAAAAUACAAUAAAAUUUAAAUUAAAAAGGACAAAACAAAUAAAAACUACACUUAAAAAUGGUAAACAAAAAAGAAUAAAAAAAAUAAAAUAAGAAACACAUAAAAAAACGACAACUGAGGUCCUUGCCUCAUUCCUAAAACUAGUCAUAAUCAAAGUUUAAGUUUGUUCUAAUACAUCAGAGAAAUCACAACUCGACCCUAAGUGGGGAAGAACUCCUGGUGUUGGUAGUUUGAGGUAGGUUGAGGAGGAAUAGAUUGUUAGUGUUGAGGAUGGAAUUGAGGCGAGAAAGGAAUGUCAGAGUAGUGCUGGUAGAAAUCAGGCACACUAACAUGCUCCAUAUUGGCACUCAUAAAGCUUUGAGCAUAUGUCGUCUAGUCAUGUUAGUUUGUAAAUCAUACUGGUGGUACACCUCCAAAUGAGUAUUGGUCAUGCAUGUCACAUAACAUCAUAAUUCAAAAUAUGUGCUGAGGUGGUUGAGGUAGAGGGUCUAGCUGCAAGAGCAUCGUCAAUCUUCUUGAGCUCACUCUCAAACCAUUUUUUUUAUAUGUUUGAGAGGAGUGAGUUUACCAUCAUUUGGAUAACUCUUGAUCCCUUGUUCCAAAUACAACAUGUGAACGAUUGAAGCAUGCCCCAAAACUAUUUUAUCGUCAUUUUCCAACUUGACAAUGUUGUUUGAGAUAAUUUGUCCCAAAUUAAUGGGACGCCUUUUAUUCAAGGCAAAGACACCAAGUGUCGUUUACACUCUAACCUCCGAGUAGUUGAAACAUGAUUCCACACUAUGGUGGAAGAAGAUAAACCAAACUUUCGCCUAUAGGUUAAGGGAAGUCGGGUCUAUCAAUACCGGGAAAGGGUUGUUGGGAAGGUAAGGUCUCCAUUGGGCAUUUUUUGGCUCAAAGUUUCUAAAAUAUAAUUGUAAUUUAUAUAUGCUACAUGCUUUUCUCUCAUUAUUGUCAACCAACAUUGUAGCAGGGGUUCUAUUUACAAGAGUCUGCUAAAAGUGUUCCCACAAUACACUAUUUUCUCCCCCCUCACAUAAGACCUCCAAGUUUGUCCCUCGUGUUUUCUCACAUAGGCAUUGGUGUAAAACUCCUUCACCCAUACCUCAUUUGUCUUUGCUAUAAUGUUGUUAAACUUUCCACAUAUGGAAUAGUAGCACAUAGAAAAAAAAUAACACAAGAACAAGAACUCUUUUUGCAAUGGUUUUGGAUGCAAAUGGGAGUUGAAACAAAGUUUCAAGUUCAAUUUUUUAAAGGGGAUGUGUACUGGCGUAAUAUGCGAUCCUUCUAAACAAAAUGGCACAAUAAUAUUCCAGGAAAUUCACUCCAGUGCAAUGGCGCAAACCACUAGUGCAAUGCACUAGUCAACAACCACAUAGGGUUUUUAAAAUGCAAUUCAAUGUGUCAUAGUGUUUUUCCUAACACCCAGCUCUACCUCUUCCUCUCCUUUAUUUUUCCAUUGAAGUCGGGAUGACUGACCUGCAUCCUUUAUUUUUCCUUAGAAGUCAAGAUGACUUACUUGCACCGUUUAUUUUUCCUUUGAAGCCUAGAUGAUUGGCCCGCACCUUUAUUUUUUUCUUUGAAGCCAGAACAUCCUUUAUUUUUAUUUCGAAGUCGAGAUGACUUCCCCACACCCUUUAUUUUUUUUCUUUAAAGCUGGGAUUUCUGACUCGCACCCUCUAUUUUUCUUUUGAAUCUAGGAUGACUAACCCACACUCUUUUUGUUUUUCCUUGACACUGAGAUUUCUGACCCACACUAUUUAUUUCUCCUUUGAAGCCAGAAUGACUGACUCGCAUCCUUUAUUUUUUCUUUGAAGUCGAGAUAACUAACACGCACCAUUUAUUUUUCCUUUCAAGCUGGGAUGAUUGACCUGCACCCUUUAUUUUUCCUUUGAAGCUAGGAUUUUCGACCCGAACCCUUUAUUUUUCCUUUGAAACUAGGAUGACUAACCUGCAUCCUUUAUUUUUCCUUUAAAGACGAUAUGACUGAUUCACACCCUUUGCUUUUUCUUUGAAGUUGGGAUGACUAACAUGCACCCUUUAUUUUUUGAAGCUGGGAUGACUUACCCGCACCAUUUAUUAUUCUUUUGAAGUCGAGAUUUCUGACUUGGACACAUUUUAUUGUUCGUUUAAUGUUGGGAUUUCCAACCUGCACCCCUUUGCGUCCUAAGUCGAGAAAACAACUUGCAUCUUAAGUCAAAAAAACGACUCACAUCUUAAGCCAAGAAAAAUAACUCACACCCCAAGUCAAAAAAACGACCUGAAUCUUAUGUCGCAAAAUAACUUGCACCCUUCUUCAUCAAUGCUAUCUUUUUUGGACAAAAUUAGAGUCGUGGUAUUUACUUAUUCUUUACUAUGAUUCUCUAGUAAAUUCUAAGUAGAGAGGAAGAGCUAUUACCACUUAAUUUUGAUCACCGUUUUAUAAUUACUCAUAAAAAAAAUGACAGUUUGAAGUUUUUACCUUAACUUUUUGUUUUUUAUUUCAAUAAAAAACAAUAUGAUUUUCAUUUAUUUUAUUUUUUUGAUUUUUGGUUGUUAAUAAAAAGAAAUAUAUAUUUAACUUUUUCUUCAUUUUUAUUUAUUACUUUUUAGGUCUAAAAUUAACAUGAUAAUAAAAAAUAAAUAAUUCAAAUCAUUUUUUAUUUUAUUAAUGGAAACAAAAAUUAAAAUAAAAAGAUAAUUACGAUUUUUUUUAUUUUAGAAAUGAUUUUCAUUUGAUUUGUCUAGAUUGAUACAAUUUACAAUCCCUGGUAAUUUAAGCAAGUUUUUUUAAUACUUAAAAGCAAUAAUGGUAACCGAAGAAAAUCGAUCUUGGUACUUAGCAAUGAUUGCAAAUUUUGUUUCCAAAAUUUCUUUAACCUAUGAAAUAACUAAUUCAGAUAUUUGAUUAAAAAAAAAUAACAUAUGAAAUAGUUAUAAAUAUAGAUUGAUAAUUAGAGAACCAAUAUCAUGCACGAAGUCAAUAUUAAAAUUUAAAUAGUAAAUAAAAUAUCGAAUUUGGAAUAAAAAUCCUAAAUAAACCAUGCAUGAUGUCUUUUAUCCAUGUAUCUCUUGACCAUUAUUGAAAUAAAAAUUUCACAUUUUGAGAAUUGGUUUGUCAUCAAUAAUUUGCUUUACUUCUUAUGUCUUCUCCAUAAAUUUAUGAUUGAUAUCAAGUGCCACCUUGAAUAAAAGAAACUUGUUUAUGAGUUUAUCAUAUCAUUCAAUUGUUAUUAACUUUCAAAGUGUCAUCAACAAAAUGACAGAUAUAAAUAUAAAACUUUAUAUACAUGUAUGGUCAACCAUUAUUUAGUUAAAAAAAGUAGGUAAUAGUUAAGUUUUAAUAUUUACCAUUCCAUUGAAAAUAAUCAUAUCAUCACAGAAUUUCUAUAAAAAAUGUUCCAUUAUGUUGUUAAAUAUAAAAAUAAAAUAAAAAUUAGUGUUAGAGUCGUCAAUAUAAUAAUAUGUAAUAUAUGAUACAAAAACAAAACAAUAAACAAACUCUAACCUUGUUGUUCAUCGAGACUAACUCUAAAAAACGAAAGUUUGUUGUGGUUGACGUCUCUUACUUUCAAUUUUCUUUCGAAUACUUAUAUUAAAGAGAACAUCAUAUUUUGGAGGUAUUGUGUGUAUCAUAUUUUUUAUGUGCUUAC
Molecule: long non-coding RNA, 6187 nt
Filed under: Cicer arietinum (chickpea)
Lineage: Eukaryota; Viridiplantae; Streptophyta; Magnoliopsida; Fabales; Fabaceae
Description: long non-coding RNA (CARI_LNC000496)
Source: RNAcentral